RNAcentral lists this ribosomal RNA (2317 nucleotides) under Streptococcus agalactiae MC621. RNAcentral describes it as "bacterial LSU rRNA". It matches the Rfam family "Bacterial large subunit ribosomal RNA", at positions 14 to 2352 of the family's 2925-position model. Lineage: Bacteria; Bacillati; Bacillota; Bacilli; Lactobacillales; Streptococcaceae. The record is from RNAcentral.
AGGGCGCACGGUGGAUGCCUUGGCACUAGAAGCCGAAGAAGGACGUGACUAACGACGAAAUGCUUUGGGGAGCUGUAAGUAAGCGCUGAUCCAGAGAUGUCCGAAUGGGGGAACCCACUAGUUAAUGACUAGUAUCCAUAUCUGUUAAGGAUAUGAGAAGGAAGACGCAGUGAACUGAAACAUCUAAGUAGCUGCAGGAAGAGAAAGCAAAAGCGAUUGCCUUAGUAGCGGCGAGCGAAACGGCAGGAGGGCAAACCGAAGUGUUUACACUUCGGGGUUGUAGGACUGCGAUAUAGGAUUAAUCAUUAUAGAAGAAUUACCUGGGAAGGUAAGCCAAAGAGAGUAACAGCCUCGUAUUUAAAAUGAUAGAUUAACCUUAGCAGUAUCCUGAGUACGGCGAGACACGCGAAAUCUCGUCGGAAUCUGGGAGGACCAUCUCCCAACCCUAAAUACUCUCUAGUGACCGAUAGUGAACCAGUACCGUGAGGGAAAGGUGAAAAGCACCCCGGGAGGGGAGUGAAAUAGAACCUGAAACCGUGUGCCUACAACAAGUUCGAGCCCGUUAAUGGGUGAGAGCGUGCCUUUUGUAGAAUGAACCGGCGAGUUACGAUAUGAUGCGAGGUUAAGUUGAAGAGACGGAGCCGUAGGGAAACCGAGUCUUAAUAGGGCGCCAUAGUAUCAUGUUGUAGACCCGAAACCAUGUGACCUACCCAUGAGCAGGUUGAAGGUGAGGUAAAACUCACUGGAGGACCGAACCAGGGCACGUUGAAAAGUGCUUGGAUGACUUGUGGGUAGCGGAGAAAUUCCAAACGAACUUGGAGAUAGCUGGUUCUCUCCGAAAUAGCUUUAGGGCUAGCGUCGAUGUUAAGUCUCUUGGAGGUAGAGCACUGUUUGGGUGAGGGGUCCAUCCCGGAUUACCAAUCUCAGAUAAACUCCGAAUGCCAACGAGAUAUAAUCGGCAGUCAGACUGCGAGUGCUAAGAUCCGUAGUCGAAAGGGAAACAGCCCAGACCACCAGCUAAGGUCCCAAAAUAUAUGUUAAGUGGAAAAGGAUGUGGGGUUGCACAGACAACUAGGAUGUUAGCUUAGAAGCAGCUAUUCAUUCAAAGAGUGCGUAAUAGCUCACUAGUCGAGUGACCCUGCGCCGAAAAUGUACCGGGGCUAAAACAUAUUACCGAAGCUGUGGAUGACACAAAAGUGUCAUGGUAGGAGAGCGUUCUAUGUGUGAAGAAGGUGUACCGUGAGGAGCGCUGGAACGCAUAGAAGUGAGAAUGCCGGUAUGAGUAGCGCAAGACAGGUGAGAAUCCUGUCCACCGUAAGACUAAGGUUUCCAGGGGAAGGCUCGUCCGCCCUGGGUUAGUCGGGACCUAAGGAGAGACCGAAAGGUGUAUCCGAUGGACAACAGGUUGAUAUUCCUGUACUAGAGUAUAUAGUGAUGGAGGGACGCAGUAGGCUAACUAAACCAGACGAUUGGAAGUGUCUGGUCAAACAGUGAGGUGUGAUAUGAGUCAAAUGCUUAUAUCUUUAACAUUGAGCUGUGACGAGGAGCGAAGUUUAGUAGCGAAGUUAGUGAUGUCACACUGCCAAGAAAAGCUUCUAGCGAUACAUAUACUCUACCCGUACCGCAAACCGACACAGGUAGUCGAGGCGAGUAGCCUCAGGUGAGCGAGAGAACUCUCGUUAAGGAACUCGGCAAAAUGGCCCCGUAACUUCGGGAGAAGGGGCGCUGAUUUUAGAUCAGCCGCAGUGAAUAGGCCCAAGCAACUGUUUAUCAAAAACACAGCUCUCUGCUAAAUCGUAAGAUGAUGUAUAGGGGGUGACGCCUGCCCGGUGCUGGAAGGUUAAGAGGAGUGCUUAGCGUAAGCGAAGGUAUGAAUUGAAGCCCCAGUAAACGGCGGCCGUAACUAUAACGGUCCUAAGGUAGCGAAAUUCCUUGUCGGGUAAGUUCCGACCCGCACGAAAGGCGUAAUGAUUUGGGCACUGUCUCAACGAGAGACUCGGUGAAAUUUUAGUACCUGUGAAGAUGCAGGUUUACCCGCGACAGGACGGAAAGACCCCAUGGAGCUUUACUGCAGUUUGAUAUUGAGUAUCUGUACCACAUGUACAGGAUAGGUAGGAGCCUAUGAUAACGGGACGCCAGUUUCGUUUGAGGCGUUGUUGGGAUACUACCCUUGUGUUAUGGCUACUCUAACCCAGAUAGGCAAUCCCUAUCGGAGACAGUGUCUGACGGGCAGUUUGACUGGGGCGGUCGCCUCCUAAAAGGUAACGGAGGCGCCCAAAGGUUCCCUCAGACUGGUUGGAAAUCAGUCGUAGAGUGU